UAAUACGGAGGGGGCGAGCGUUAUUCGGAAUUAUUGGGCGUAAAGGGCGCGUAGGCGGCUCGAUAAGUCAAAGGUGAAAUCCCUCGGCUCGACUGAGGAACUGCCUUUGAAACUGUCGAGCUUGAGUCCGGGAGGGGGUGGCGGAAUUCCCAGUGUAGCGGUGAAAUGCGUAGAUAUUGGGAGGAACACCAGUGGCGAAAGCGGCUACCUGGACCGGAACUGACGCUGAUGCGCGAAAGCGUGGGUAGCAAACAGGA
This 257-nucleotide ribosomal RNA is filed under the name uncultured prokaryote. Its description in RNAcentral is "partial 16S ribosomal RNA". It matches the Rfam family "Bacterial small subunit ribosomal RNA", at positions 521 to 777 of the family's 1533-position model. The record is from RNAcentral.